GUUGUAUAGUCAAGUAAUUAAGUGCAUGUGGUGGAUGCCUUGGCAGUCAGAGGCGAUGAAAGACGUGAUAGCCUGCGAAAAGCUCCGGGGAGGCGGCAAAUAUCCUUUGAUCCGGAGAUGUCUGAAUGGGGGAACCCACCUACUUUAAGGUAGGUAUUGCAACAUGAAUACAUAGUGUUGCAAGGCGAACGAGGGGAAGUGAAACAUCUCAGUACCCUUAGGAAAAGAAAUCAAUUGAGAUUCCCUCAGUAGCGGCGAGCGAACGGGGAUCAGCCCAUUAAGUUAUGUGUGUUUUAGUGGAACGCUCUGGGAAGUGCGAACGUAGAGGGUGAUAUUCCCGUACACGAAAGGGCACACAUAAUGAUGACGAGUAGGGCGAGGCACGUGAAACCUUGUCUGAAUAUGGGGGGACCAUCCUCCAAGGCUAAAUACUCCUGACUGACCGAUAGUGAACCAGUACCGUGAGGGAAAGGCGAAAAGAACCCCUGUGAGGGGAGUGAAAUAGAUCCUGAAACCGCAUGCAUACAAGCAGUGGGAGCACCUUCGUGGUGUGACUGCGUACCUUUUGUAUAAUGGGUCAGCGACUUAUAUUCAGUAGCAAGGUUAACCGUAUAGGGGAGCCGUAGAGAAAUCGAGUCUUAAUAGGGCGUUUAGUUGCUGGGUAUAGACCCGAAACCAGGCGAUCUAUCCAUGAGCAGGUUGAAGGUUGGGUAACACUAACUGGAGGACCGAA
Molecule: ribosomal RNA, 733 nt
Filed under: Acinetobacter baumannii
Lineage: Bacteria; Pseudomonadati; Pseudomonadota; Gammaproteobacteria; Moraxellales; Moraxellaceae
Description: bacterial LSU rRNA
Rfam family: Bacterial large subunit ribosomal RNA
Source: RNAcentral